CCUCUGGCUUGUUUAUGUGUACAACCCCUACCCAUAAUGAGCAGGUGCCACCCAAUGCCAAACCUCUGGAUACGCCCGUGACUGUGUAAUUUAUUUUGAAAAUAUUUUUGACUUUUUUUUUUUAUUCUGUUUUCAGUAAAUAAAGGCUGGUGUCAACAUCACUAUGUAGCACCUGACCCUUGAUAUCUGUAGCACCUUUUUAUGCCUUCACUUGACCAUGUGACCAUCUACAAUCCUGCACGUGAACUGUUCUGUCAGUUUACAUGUGAGUUUUCCUUUGAAUCUACAUAAAAUCCACAUUAGCCGCACAGAGGCAUUACACAGAAACACAAACAACCAGCAGAGUUGUUGAUGCUGGAUCCGGAGCUGAGCCCGAAACAGCAGUCCAAUGUGACUUCCGGUUUUCACAAUAAAGGCCCAAACUUUAAAAGACCCCAACACCAGCCAGGGGUGGAUAAAAUGUUGACAUUAAGAUCUUUAAACAUUACAUUUUACAUUAUUGAAAAGGUCGGAGCUUUACGGGAUACAAGUUUCUAUAAAUUAACGAACAACUGACCUAAACUGGGGGGAAACAUCUCACAAUCCCCUUCUACGAAUUUCACCUAGUUAGUGGAAGUUUUUCAGACUUUAUUGUUACUGCGAUUCCUUUGUGGCAUUUUUUUUUUUUUUUGGUAUUCCAAAUCUCAGUAUAGCUCGGGACGUGCACUUUUCUUCUUGUGUGUAGGAUAGGAGGCAAAAUACAGAGACGUGUUAACCUGCAGGAGACCCAUAAUGAAAGCCAGGCUGUCUGUCUUAGAGUGCUGAGUUUCAGAAAGCUGAACAAAUAAUUUCAUCAAUGAGAGUGGCCUGGAUGGACAGGAUUAAAACGAGUACAUCAGAGAGACAGCUCAGGUAGAGCAGUUUGGGGGCAAAGUUUGUGAGACAAGGCUGAGAUGGUGUGGACAUGUGCAUAUACUGGACAUACUGGACAAAGGAUGCUGAAAAUGGAGAGCAGGCAGGAAGACCACAGAGGAGGUUCGUGCAUGUAGUGAAGGAGGACACUCAGAUAGGAGAAGAGGAGGGUGCUAGAGGUAGCGUUAGAAGAAGGCAGAUGGUACCCAAAGAGAGCAG
This is a long non-coding RNA of Astatotilapia calliptera (eastern happy), 1110 nucleotides long. Lineage: Eukaryota; Metazoa; Chordata; Actinopteri; Cichliformes; Cichlidae. The record is from Ensembl.